Molecule: ribosomal RNA, 529 nt
Filed under: uncultured Nitrososphaerota archaeon
Lineage: Archaea; Thermoproteati; Nitrososphaerota
Description: bacterial SSU rRNA
Rfam family: Archaeal small subunit ribosomal RNA
Source: RNAcentral
CUGGUGUCAGCCGCCGCGGUAAUACCAGCACCCCGAGUGGUCGGGACGAUUAUUGGGCCUAAAGCAUCCGUAGCCGGUACUGCAAGUCUUCCGUUAAAUCCACCUGCUCAACAGUUGGGCUGCGGGGGAUACUACAGCGCUAGGAGGCGGGAGAGGCAAGCGGUACUUAAUGGGUAGGGGUAAAAUCCACUGAUCCAUUGAAGACCACCAGUGGCGAAGGCGGCUUGCCAGAACGCGCUCGACGGUGAGGGAUGAAAGCUGGGGGAGCAAACCGGAUUAGAUACCCGGGUAGUCCCAGCUGUAAACGAUGCAGACUCGGUGAUGGGCUGGCCUUGUGCCAACCCAGUGCCGCAGGGAAGCCGUUAAGUCUGCCGCCUGGGGAGUACGGUCGCAAGACUGAAACUGAAAGGAAUUGGCGGGGGAGCACCACAAUGGGUGAAGCCUGCGGUUCAAUUGGAGUCAACGCCGGGAAUCUUACCGGGGGCGACAGCAGAGUGAAGGUCAAGCUGAACAUUUUAACAGACUAGCU